UGCAGUCUCUGCGCAAGCAGGGCGGACUGCUGAGUAACACGUAGCUAACCUACCCUUGGGUGGGGGAUAACCUCGGGAAACUGAGGAUAAUACCCCAUAGGAGAUAUCAUCUGGAAGGAGAUAUCUCCGAAAGCUUUUGCGCCCAAGGAUGGGGCUGCGGCGGAUUAGGUUGACGUUAGGGUAACUGCCUAACGUGCCUAUAAUCCGUAGGGGCUGUGAGAGCAGUAGCCCCCAGAUGGAUUCUGAGACAUGAAUCCAGGCCCUACGGGGCGCAGCAGGCGCGAAACCUUCCCAAUGCGCGCAAGCGUGAGGGGGGUACUCCCAGUGCCUUCCUCUGGAAGGCUUUUCCUCGGUGAAAAGAGCCGAGGGAAUAAGGGGUGGGCAAGACCGUUGCCAGCCGCCGCGGUAAUAACGGCGCCCCAAGUGGUGAGCUCUUUUAUUGGGCCUAAAGGGUCCGUAGCCGGACAUGUAAGUCCUCUGUUAAAUCCCUAAGAAGACUUAGGGGUCGCAGAGGAUACUACAUGUCUUGGGACCGGGAGGGGCUGAGGGUACUCACAGGGUAGGGGUGAAAUCCUAUAAUCCUGUGGGGACCACCUGUGGCGAAGGCGCUCAGCUGGAACNGUUCCGACGGUGAGGGACGAAAGCCAGGGGAGCAAACCNGAUUANAUACCCGGGUAGUCCUGGCUGUAAAC
RNAcentral lists this ribosomal RNA (692 nucleotides) under uncultured archaeon. RNAcentral describes it as "bacterial SSU rRNA". It matches the Rfam family "Archaeal small subunit ribosomal RNA", at positions 52 to 758 of the family's 1478-position model. The record is from RNAcentral.